This 71-nucleotide transfer RNA is filed under the name Ictidomys tridecemlineatus (thirteen-lined ground squirrel). RNAcentral's name for it is "Spermophilus tridecemlineatus (thirteen-lined ground squirrel) tRNA". It matches the Rfam family "tRNA". Rfam says of the family: Transfer RNA (tRNA) molecules are approximately 80 nucleotides in length. Their secondary structure includes four short double-helical elements and three loops (D, anti-codon, and T loops). RNAcentral also lists the same sequence under 1 other name. The record is from Rfam by way of RNAcentral. Lineage: Eukaryota; Metazoa; Chordata; Mammalia; Rodentia; Sciuridae.
GUGGUUGUAGCUCAAUGGUAGAGUGCUUGCCUAGCAUGUGUGAGGCACUGGGUUCAAUCCCCAGCACCCCA